Molecule: ribosomal RNA, 253 nt
Filed under: uncultured bacterium
Lineage: Bacteria
Description: partial 16S ribosomal RNA
Rfam family: Bacterial small subunit ribosomal RNA
Source: RNAcentral
UACAGAGGUGGCAAGCGUUGUUCGGAUUCAUUGGGCGUAAAGCGUUCGUAGGCGGUCCGUAAAGUCAGAUGUGAAAGCCCACGGCUUAACCGUGGAACUGCAUUUGAAACUCAUGGACUCGAGGGUAAGAGGGGUAGAAGGAAUUCCAAGUGUAAGGGUGAAAUCUGCAGAGAUUUGGAAGAACACCAGUCGCGAAGGCGUUCUACUGGCUUACUUCUGACGCUGAGGGACGAAAGCUAGGGGAGCGAACGGG